CAGUCUCAGUUCGGAUUGAAGGCUGAAAUUCGCCUUCAUGAAGCCGGAAUUGCUAGUAAUGGCAGGUCAGCAUACUGCCGUGAAUACGUUCCCGGGCCUUGUACACACCGCCCGUCAAGCCAUGGGAGCCGGGGGCGCCUGAAGUCCGGGACCGCGAGGACCGGCCUAGGGCGAAACUGGUGACUGGGGCUAAGUCGUAACAAGGUAUC
Molecule: ribosomal RNA, 209 nt
Filed under: uncultured bacterium
Lineage: Bacteria
Description: partial 16S ribosomal RNA
Rfam family: Bacterial small subunit ribosomal RNA
Source: RNAcentral